GAUGAACGCUGGCGGCGUGCUUAACACAUGCAAGUCGAGCGAAGCACCUUGACGGAUUUCUUCGGAUUGAAGCCUUGGUGACUGAGCGGCGGACGGGUGAGUAACGCGUGGGUAACCUGCCUCAUACAGGGGGAUAACAGUUGGAAACGGCUGCUAAUACCGCAUAAGCGCACAGUACCGCAUGGUACGGUGUGAAAAGCUCCGGUGGUAUGAGAUGGACCCGCGUCUGAUUAGGUAGUUGGUGGGGUAACGGCCUACCAAGCCGACGAUCAGUAGCCGACCUGAGAGGGUGACCGGCCACAUUGGGACUGAGACACGGCCCAAACUCCUACGGGAGGCAGCAGUGGGGAAUAUUGCACAAUGGGGGAAACCCUGAUGCAGCGACGCCGCGUGAGCGAUGAAGUAUUUCGGUAUGUAAAGCUCUAUCAGCAGGGAAGAAAAUGACGGUACCUGACUAAGA
RNAcentral lists this ribosomal RNA (460 nucleotides) under uncultured bacterium. RNAcentral's name for it is "bacterial SSU rRNA". It matches the Rfam family "Bacterial small subunit ribosomal RNA", at positions 28 to 488 of the family's 1533-position model. The record is from RNAcentral.